CUCUCUAGAUAUCUAGAGAGAGAGAUCCACUGUGUGAGCAACCCGCAUAAUAAUAACAGGACGUUACGUGUGCUCUACAGGCCGCACUCCAUCUUUCUUCCCAACGAGCCCUUUUUGUGAUUUGGAAGACGGGCGUUGCGUUCGGUUCGAAGGGCAUGGUUUUCAGUAUGUCUCCAGAUAAGGCCCCCACUAGUCCGGCUAGCUAGUGAGCGAUUCUUUCGGGCGAGAAGUGGGCCGG
Molecule: long non-coding RNA, 238 nt
Filed under: Arachis ipaensis
Lineage: Eukaryota; Viridiplantae; Streptophyta; Magnoliopsida; Fabales; Fabaceae
Description: long non-coding RNA (AIPA_LNC000382)
Source: RNAcentral